GGCUAAAAUUAUCUUCUAGGGACCGCUCAUCAUGUUCAUUAUUACUGUUGCAUUAUUUAAGCAAUUGGGUUGGAUUCAUUAGUUAGGUUUAAGAUGGAUUCAUUGAGUGUAAACGCUUCAUGUAAGCUUGUAGUAGGUAUGUUUCUUGGUUCUAACUAAUUUGAUCCACUUCUAAUGUUGCUGCUAAGUGACCUUGUGGUG
Molecule: unclassified non-coding RNA, 201 nt
Filed under: Hevea brasiliensis (rubber tree)
Lineage: Eukaryota; Viridiplantae; Streptophyta; Magnoliopsida; Malpighiales; Euphorbiaceae
Source: RNAcentral